This 235-nucleotide ribosomal RNA is filed under the name uncultured bacterium. RNAcentral's name for it is "partial 16S ribosomal RNA". It matches the Rfam family "Bacterial small subunit ribosomal RNA", at positions 87 to 339 of the family's 1533-position model. The record is from RNAcentral.
CGGACUUAGCGGCGGACGGGUGAGUAACGCGUGGGAACAUACCCUUUGGUACGGAAUAGCUCUUGGAAACGAGUGGUAAUACCGUAUACGCCCUCCGGGGGAAAGAUUUAUCGGUGAAAGAUCGGCCCGCGUUAGAUUAGCUAGUUGGUGAGGUAAUGGCUUACCAAGGCAACGAUCAAUAGCUGUUCUUAGAGGAAGACCAGCCACAUUGGGACUGAGACACGGCCCAAACUCC